GAUGAAGAACGUAGCGAAAUGCGAUACUUGGUGUGAAUUGCAGAAUCCCGUGAACCAUCGAGUCUUUGAACGCAAGUUGCGCCCGAAGCCAUCAGGUUGAGGGCACGUCUGCCUGGGCGUCACAUAUCGUUGCCCAAUGCCUAUUGCAGUGCAAUAGGAAUUUCUAGGGCGAAUGAUGGCUUCCCGUGAGCGUUGUUGCCUCGCGGUUGGUUGAAAAUCGAGUCCUUGGUAGGGUGUGCCAUGGUAGAUGGUGGUCGAGUUAGAACGAUACCGAUCAUGUGCAUGCUCCCCAAAAUAUGGCCUCUAUGACCCACACGCGUCUUUUGACGCUCAUGACGAGACCUCAGGUCAGGCGGGGCUACCCGCUGAAUUUAAGCAUAUCAUAACGGAGGA
This 393-nucleotide unclassified non-coding RNA is filed under the name soil metagenome. RNAcentral's name for it is "partial contains 5.8S ribosomal RNA, internal transcribed spacer 2, and large subunit ribosomal RNA". The stretch from base 1 to 122 matches the Rfam family "5.8S ribosomal RNA", at positions 35 to 154 of the family's 154-position model. The record is from RNAcentral.